UGAUGCUGGCACAUUUGAAGAGGGUCUUGAUACAGGUGGACCAAGACGUGAACUUCUUACUUUGCUGAUGAGCUGCCUACAGUAUCGCCCCAUUUUUGAUGGACCUCCCAGUAGUCGUUACCUGGUAUACAAUUCAGUUGCUGUUAGGGAGGAUGAGUAUUUCUUGGCAGGAAAAAUGAUUGCUGUGUCAAUAGUUCAUGGAGGACCAGGGCCCCAUUUUCUUUCACAAGACCUGGUAAACCACAUUGUAAACCAAACCACUUUCAGUGCCACUUUGAAAGAUGUCACAGAUGAGGGUAUAGUGAAAGCGCUGCAAGAGAUUAAGAAUGCAGCCACUUUGGGGUCACUACAAGAACUGAUUUAAAAAAAACAGCACCCUGCUUCAGACUGCUGGGUGUUUUCGACGUGUGAACAGUAUUGAGGAGAAACAUG
Molecule: long non-coding RNA, 432 nt
Organism: Clarias gariepinus (North African catfish)
Lineage: Eukaryota; Metazoa; Chordata; Actinopteri; Siluriformes; Clariidae
Exons: 3
Source: RefSeq, a predicted model, not a curated record